RNAcentral lists this ribosomal RNA (454 nucleotides) under Trapezia septata. Its description in RNAcentral is "partial 12S small subunit ribosomal RNA". Lineage: Eukaryota; Metazoa; Arthropoda; Malacostraca; Decapoda; Trapeziidae. The record is from RNAcentral.
GGAGGUGAAAUUAAGAUUUUUAGAGUUAGUAAUUGAUGAUAAUUGAAGCUAUAAAAAUUUAGAUUUAAACUAGGAUUAGAUACCCUAUUAUACUAAAAAUAAACUUUUAAAAAUUGAUUAUUAUUAGUUAUGUGCUUAAAAUUUGAAGAAUUUGGCGGUAGCUUAGUCUUGUUAGAGGAACCUGUUUUAUUAAAUCGAUAAUCCGCGUAAAAUCUUGCUUUAGCUUAUAUACCGUCAUUAACAGAUAAUUUUACGAGAAUUAAUUGUUGGAAUUUAUAAAAUAUAAAUAAAAUUAGAUCAAGGUGUAGUCUAUGAGAAAGCUAAAAUGGGUUACAAUAAAAGUUUGUUUAAAAAACGUAUUUAUAAAUAAUGAAGGAGGAUUUAAUUGUAUUGUAAGUUAAUAUAUUACGAUGAUAUACAGCACUAAGUUAUGUACAUAUUGCCCGUCGCUUUC